RNAcentral lists this transfer RNA (76 nucleotides) under Marmota monax (woodchuck). RNAcentral describes it as "tRNA.Ala". The record is from RNAcentral. Lineage: Eukaryota; Metazoa; Chordata; Mammalia; Rodentia; Sciuridae.
GGGAGUGUAGUUCAGUGGUAGAGUGCUUGCCCAGCAUGUUGCAAAGCUCUGGGUUCAAUCCCCAGUACCACUCCCC